CCUAUGGGUGGCAGCAGUGGGGAAUAUUGGACAAUGGGCGAAAGCCUGAUCCAGCCAUGCCGCGUGUGUGAAGAAGGCCUUCGGGUUGUAAAGCACUUUCAGUGGGGAAGAAAGCCUUGGGGCUAAUACCCUCGAGGAAGGACAUCACCCACAGAAGAAGCACCGGCUAACUCCGUGCCAGCAGCCGCGGUAAUACGGAGGGUGCGAGCGUUAAUCGGAAUUACUGGGCGUAAAGCGCGCGUAGGCGGUCUGAUAAGCCGGUUGUGAAAGCCCCGGGCUCAACCUGGGAACGGCAUCCGGAACUGUCAGGCUAGAGUGCAGGAGAGGAAGGUAGAAUUCCCGGUGUAGCGGUGAAAUGCGUAGAGAUCGGGAGGAAUACCAGUGGCGAAGGCGGCCUUCUGGACUGACACUGACGCUGAGGUGCGAAAGCGUGGGUAGCAAACAGGAUUAGAUACCCUAGUAGUC
Molecule: ribosomal RNA, 465 nt
Filed under: Vreelandella stevensii
Lineage: Bacteria; Pseudomonadati; Pseudomonadota; Gammaproteobacteria; Oceanospirillales; Halomonadaceae
Description: partial 16S ribosomal RNA
Rfam family: Bacterial small subunit ribosomal RNA
Source: RNAcentral